AAGAGUUGCAAAACUGCCCACAACCAUCGCGAACUUACCCAGACGUCGUGCUUCGGCGGGCUCGCCCGCCGGGGGACGCUACUACCAGCCCUUGCAGUUAUUUGGCCUCUCUGAGUAUGAUUUUUAGAACAAGUCA
RNAcentral lists this unclassified non-coding RNA (136 nucleotides) under soil metagenome. RNAcentral's name for it is "partial internal transcribed spacer 1". The record is from RNAcentral.